Molecule: long non-coding RNA, 548 nt
Filed under: Homo sapiens (human)
Lineage: Eukaryota; Metazoa; Chordata; Mammalia; Primates; Hominidae
Description: HSALNT0326758
Source: RNAcentral
AAGACUAAAGAAGCCCCUGCCUUCUUGGAGCUUACAGUCUGGUCAGGAAGGCAAACAUUGAAUAAGUAAUCAUCAGUGUUAACAAGAACCACCUUCAAUGGAGAAAGCAGCCUGCUUUGGGAAUGCCUGGUAGGAAUUUAACUGCCAGAGAGGAAAGGUUUCCCAGAGGAAAUGUGAGACCUGAAAGGAACCAGGCUGAGGACGCAGCAAGCUUGGUGUGAUGCCAGAAACACAAGAGAGCAAGUGGAAGCCUGGCAUACCUCUUAAGUCCUAGUUUGAAACAGGAGUGCAACAGCCAUCUUGUGAGCAUGAAGAUGAAAGCCCCACACUGAGGAUGACAGCAUGGGAAGAUAAGACGUGCCUAGUGACAUUCCAAACCUCUGUAAAGGCCUGGGACUACCUACUUCUGAACAUCUUCUUAUGUGAGAAAAAUAAACCCACAUUUGGUUAAGUCUCCACUUGAGGUUUAAAAUAGAUAGCCAGACAAACAAACCUUGAAUUUGUUAGCUUUCAUUUACUUUAUUCUGUUCUGGUGUUUUUUUUUUUUU